AGCGAACGCUGGCGGCAGGCCUAACACAUGCAAGUCGAACGAACCUUUCGGGGUUAGUGGCGGACGGGUGAGUAACACGUGGGAACGUGCCUUUAGGUUCGGAAUAACUCAGGGAAACUUGUGCUAAUACCGAAUGUGCCCUGCGGGGGAAAGAUUUAUCGCCUUUAGAGCGGCCCGCGUCUGAUUAGCUAGUUGGUUGAGGUAAUGGCUCACCAAGGCGACGAUCAGUAGCUGGUCUGAGAGGAUGAUCAGCCACAUUGGGACUGAGACACGGCCCAAACUCCUACGGGAGGCAGCAGUGGGGAAUCUUGCGCAAUGGGCGAAAGCCUGACGCAGCCAUGCCGCGUGAAUGAUGAAGGUCUUAGGAUUGUAAAAUUCUUUCACCGGGGACGAUAAUGACGGUACCCGGAGAAGAAGCCCCGGCUAACUUCGUG
RNAcentral lists this ribosomal RNA (434 nucleotides) under uncultured bacterium. RNAcentral's name for it is "partial 16S ribosomal RNA". It matches the Rfam family "Bacterial small subunit ribosomal RNA", at positions 29 to 507 of the family's 1533-position model. The record is from RNAcentral.